Homo sapiens (human) is the source of this 981-nucleotide long non-coding RNA. Lineage: Eukaryota; Metazoa; Chordata; Mammalia; Primates; Hominidae. The record is from Ensembl.
CACUCUUUGGGUCCGCACUGCCUUUAUGAGCUGUAACACUCAAACUGCGAAGGUCUGUGGCUUCACUCCUGAAGUCAGUGAGACCAUGAACCCACCAGCAGGAAGAAAUUGGACACAUCUGAAGAAACAAACUCCAGACACACCAUCUUUAAGAGCUGUAACACUCACUGCAAAAGUCCGCGACUUCAUUCUUGAAGUCAGCGAGACCAAGAACCCACAGGAAGGAAUAAAUUCCAGACACACUACUACUGUCCCUGUUCAUUAAUCUAUUUAUUCGGCAAGAAAAUAUUGAUAACAGGCACUGUCCUGUGUACUAGAGAUGGACAGAAUCAUGACUUUUGGCUUCAGGGCCUCACAGUUCAGUUGGAGAGAGCAACAUGGCACCAGUUGAUUCCAGGGCAACACAAUUAGUGACAUAACAGAGACAGAUGAAAGGGAUUGCAGAAGCAGAGAGAGCAUCCUGACUAAUUGAAUCUGCAAAUGGUGAAGAAGCCCUUCCAGGGGUGAUGCUGUGAGCUGAAUUGUGUAUUAGUAGGAAUUUCUCGGUUCAACACACAGAGAAAUAACAAGUUUUCUGUUGUAAACUAUUCCUUACUAAUUAAAAACAAAGUGGUUAUAUUCUUGACCUGACUCUGAAUUUAAUUUUUUAAGAAUGUAAUCAUAAGUGAAGCAACUUUAAAUAUAGCAUUAUAGGGCACAGUAUUGAUAAAUGAGAGGAAAACUUUUUCUUAAAGAGUGUACCACUCACUUACCAUGCCCUGAAAUUAACUGAGAACUCAUUUGUCAAGAGAGCACCUACCCUAUAGAGAAUUCUUCCAAUUAACAUCAAAAGCGAUCAUUCUUAACCUCUCAUGCAUUAAGAAAAUCUUGUCUGCACCCAAUGUUCUGUUCAUAAUCAAUGAAGCCCCUUAUGUAUGUUAUUGCAAAUUUAUCACCUUGUAUAUUACUAAAAUGGAUGAAUUAAUAAAUGAAUCUGCUGUA